GAAAUGCGAUAAGUAAUGUGAAUUGCAGAAUUCAGUGAAUCAUCGAAUCUUUGAACGCACAUUGCGCCCGCCGGCACUCCGGCGGGCAUGCCUGUCCGAGCGUCAUUUCAACCCUCAGGCCCGAACCCCCCCGGGGGGGCGGGCCUGGUGUUGGGGCUCGGGGUCCGCGAGGCCCCCGUCCCCUAAAUCCAGUGGCGGUCGCGCCGCACCCUCCCCUGCGUAGUAGCACACCUCGCACCGGAGAGCAGCGCGUCCACGCCGUGAAACCCCCAAUUUACCAAGGUUGACCUCGGAUCAGGUAGGAAUACCCGCUGAACUUAA
RNAcentral lists this unclassified non-coding RNA (321 nucleotides) under uncultured Sordariomycetes. RNAcentral's name for it is "sequence contains ITS1". The stretch from base 1 to 105 matches the Rfam family "5.8S ribosomal RNA", at positions 50 to 154 of the family's 154-position model. Lineage: Eukaryota; Fungi; Ascomycota; Sordariomycetes. The record is from RNAcentral.